This 438-nucleotide ribosomal RNA is filed under the name uncultured bacterium. RNAcentral describes it as "partial 16S ribosomal RNA". It matches the Rfam family "Bacterial small subunit ribosomal RNA", at positions 356 to 788 of the family's 1533-position model. The record is from RNAcentral.
UGGGAAUUUGGAUCAAUGGGAACCGACGAUCAGCCAUCCGCCGUGUGCGAUGAAGGCCUUCGGGUUGUAAAGCACUUUUGGCAGGAAAGAAACGUCGCGGGUUAAUACCCGCCGAACAAUGACGGUACCUGCAGAAUAAGCACCGGCUAACUACGUGCCAGCAGCCGCGGUAAUACGUAGGGUGCAAGCGUUAAUCGGAAUUACUGGGCGUAAAGCGUGCGCAGGCGGUUCGGAAAGAAAGAUGUGAAAUCCCAGAGCUUAACUUUGGAACUGCAUUUUUAACUACCGGGCUAGAGUGUGUCAGAGGGAGGUGGAAUUCCGCGUGUAGCAGUGAAAUGCGUAGAUAUGCGGAGGAACACCGAUGGCGAAGGCAGCCUCCUGGGAUAACACUGACGCUCAUGCACGAAAGCGUGGGGAGCAAACAGGAUUAGAUACCCU